RNAcentral lists this non-coding RNA (25 nucleotides) under Cricetulus griseus (Chinese hamster). The record is from RNAcentral. Lineage: Eukaryota; Metazoa; Chordata; Mammalia; Rodentia; Cricetidae.
AAUUGGAUAGACUUGCCCUAAAUGC